GGGUUGUGAGGUUAAGCGACUAAGCGUACACGGUGGAUGCCCUGGCAGUCAGAGGCGAUGAAGGACGUGCUAAUCUGCGAAAAGCGUCGGUAAGGUGAUAUGAACCGUUACAGCCGGCGAUGUCCGAAUGGGGAAACCCAGUGUGAUUCGUCACACUAUCGUUAACUGAAUACAUAGGUUAACGAGGCGAACCGGGGGAACUGAAACAUCUAAGUACCCCGAGGAAAAGAAAUCAACCGAGAUUCCCCCAGUAGCGGCGAGCGAACGGGGAGCAGCCCAGAGUCUGAAUCAGCUUGUGUGUUAGUGGAACGGUCUGGAAAGUCCGACGGUACAGGGUGAUAGUCCCGUACACCAAAAUGCACAGGCUGUGAACUCGAAGAGUAGGGCGGGACACGUGGUAUCCUGUCUGAAUAUGGGGGGACCAUCCUCCAAGGCUAAAUACUCCUGACUGACCGAUAGUGAACCAGUACCGUGAGGGAAAGGCGAAAAGAACCCCGGCGAGGGGAGUGAAAAAGAACCUGAAACCGUGUACGUACAAGCAGUGGGAGCACCUUCGGGUGUGACUGCGUACCUUUUGUAUAAUGGGUCAGCGACUUAUAUUCUGUAGCAAGGUUAACCGUAUAGGGGAGCCGCAGGGAAACCGAGUCUUAACUGGGCGUUAAGUUGCAGGGUAUAGACCCGAAACCCGGUGAUCUAGCCAUGGGCAGGUUGAAGGUUGGGUAACACUAACUGGAGGACCGAACCGACUAAUGUUGAAAAAUUAGCGGAUGACUUGUGGCUGGGGGUGAAAGGCCAAUCAAACCGGGAGAUAGCUGGUUCUCCCCGAAAGCUAUUUAGGUAGCGCCUCGUGAACUCAUCUUCGGGGGUAGAGCACUGUUUCGGCUAGGGGGUCAUCCCGACUUACCAACCCGAUGCAAACUACGAAUACCGAAGAAUGUUAUCACGGGAGACACACGGCGGGUGCUAACGUCCGUCGUGAAGAGGGAAACAACCCAGACCGCCAGCUAAGGUCCCAAAGUCAUGGUUAAGUGGGAAACGAUGUGGGAAGGCACAGACAGCCAGGAUGUUGGCUUAGAAGCAGCCAUCAUUUAAAGAAAGCGUAAUAGCUCACUGGUCGAGUCGGCCUGCGCGGAAGAUGUAACGGGGCUAAACCAUGCACCGAAGCUGCGGCAGCGACACUAUGUGUUGUUGGGUAGGGGAGCGUUCUGUAAGCCUGCGAAGGUGGCCUGUGAGGGUUGCUGGAGGUAUCAGAAGUGCGAAUGCUGACAUAAGUAACGAUAAAGCGGGUGAAAAGCCCGCUCGCCGGAAGACCAAGGGUUCCUGUCCAACGUUAAUCGGGGCAGGGUGAGUCGACCCCUAAGGCGAGGCCGAAAGGCGUAGUCGAUGGGAAACAGGUUAAUAUUCCUGUACUUGGUGUUACUGCGAAGGGGGGACGGAGAAGGCUAUGUUAGCCGGGCGACGGUUGUCCCGGUUUAAGCAUGUAGGCUGGUUAUCCAGGCAAAUCCGGAUAAUCAAGGCUGAGGUGUGAUGACGAGGCACUACGGUGCUGAAGUAACAAAUGCCCUGCUUCCAGGAAAAGCCUCUAAGCAUCAGGUAACACGAAAUCGUACCCCAAACCGACACAGGUGGUCAGGUAGAGAAUACCAAGGCGCUUGAGAGAACUCGGGUGAAGGAACUAGGCAAAAUGGUGCCGUAACUUCGGGAGAAGGCACGCUGGUGUGUAGGUGAAGCCCCUGCGGGUGGAGCUGAGACCAGUCGAAGAUACCAGCUGGCUGCAACUGUUUAUUAAAAACACAGCACUGUGCAAACACGAAAGUGGACGUAUACGGUGUGACGCCUGCCCGGUGCCGGAAGGUUAAUUGAUGGGGUUAUCCGUAAGGAGAAGCUCUUGAUCGAAGCCCCGGUAAACGGCGGCCGUAACUAUAACGGUCCUAAGGUAGCGAAAUUCCUUGUCGGGUAAGUUCCGACCUGCACGAAUGGCGUAAUGAUGGCCAGGCUGUCUCCACCCGAGACUCAGUGAAAUUGAACUCGCUGUGAAGAUGCAGUGUACCCGCGGCAAGACGGAAAGACCCCGUGAACCUUUACUAUAGCUUGACACUGAACAUUGAGCCUUGAUGUGUAGGAUAGGUGGGAGGCUUUGAAGCGUGGACGCCAGUCUGCGUGGAGCCAACCUUGAAAUACCACCCUUUAAUGUUUGAUGUUCUAACGUUGGCCCCUUAUCGGGGUUGCGGACAGUGUCUGGUGGGUAGUUUGACUGGGGCGGUCUCCUCCCAAAGCGUAACGGAGGAGCACGAAGGUUAGCUAAUCCUGGUCGGACAUCAGGAGGUUAGUGCAAUGGCAUAAGCUAGCUUGACUGCGAGCGUGACGGCGCGAGCAGGUGCGAAAGCAGGUCAUAGUGAUCCGGUGGUUCUGAAUGGAAGGGCCAUCGCUCAACGGAUAAAAGGUACUCCGGGGAUAACAGGCUGAUACCGCCCAAGAGUUCAUAUCGACGGCGGUGUUUGGCACCUCGAUGUCGGCUCAUCACAUCCUGGGGCUGAAGUAGGUCCCAAGGGUAUGGCUGUUCGCCAUUUAAAGUGGUACGCGAGCUGGGUUUAGAACGUCGUGAGACAGUUCGGUCCCUAUCUGCCGUGGGCGCUGGAGAAUUGAGGGGGGCUGCUCCUAGUACGAGAGGACCGGAGUGGACGCAUCACUGGUGUUCGGGUUGUCAUGCCAAUGGCACUGCCCGGUAGCUAAAUGCGGAAGAGAUAAGUGCUGAAAGCAUCUAAGCACGAAACUUGCCCCGAGAUGAGUUCUCCCUGAGACUUUAAGUCUCCUGAAGGAACGUUAAAGACGAUGACGUUGAUAGGCCGGGUGUGUAAGCGCAGCGAUGCGUUGAGCUAACCGGUACUAAUGAACCGUGAGGCUUAACCUUACAACGCCGAAG
Molecule: ribosomal RNA, 2923 nt
Filed under: Klebsiella quasipneumoniae subsp. similipneumoniae
Lineage: Bacteria; Pseudomonadati; Pseudomonadota; Gammaproteobacteria; Enterobacterales; Enterobacteriaceae
Also listed under: 1 other name
Description: bacterial LSU rRNA
Rfam family: Bacterial large subunit ribosomal RNA
Source: RNAcentral